Molecule: ribosomal RNA, 490 nt
Filed under: uncultured bacterium
Lineage: Bacteria
Description: partial 16S ribosomal RNA
Rfam family: Bacterial small subunit ribosomal RNA
Source: RNAcentral
AGUGAACGCUGGCGGUAGGCCUACCUCAUGCAAGUCGACCGGUAGCACAGUAAGUGCUUGCUCUUACGGGUGGCGAGUGGCGGACGGGUGAGGAAUACACCGGAAUCUACUUUUUCGUGGGGGAUAACGUAGGGACACUUACGCUAAUACCGCAUACGACCUACGGGUGAAAGCAGGGGAUCUUCGGACCUUGCGCGAUUGAAUGAGCCGAUGUCGGAUUAGCUAGUUGGCGGGGUAAAGGCCCACCAAGGCGACGAUCCGUAGCUGGUCUGAGAGGAUGAGCAGACACUCUGGAGCUGAGACAGGGUCCAGACUCCGACAGGAGGCAGCAGUGGGGAAUAUUGGACAAAGGACACAAGCCUAAUCCAACCAUACCGCGUGGGUGAAGAAGGCCUUCGGGUUGUAAAGCCCUUUUGGUGAGAAAGAAAAGCAGCAGGUUAAUACCCCGCUGUUCUGACGGUACCCAAAGAAUAAGCACCGGCUAACUUCG